GAUCCUUCAAUGUCCAGUACUACGCGGUAUGUAUUUUUCAUCUCAGGCUUUUGCUUAAUGAAAAUCUACAUUUUGUUAUAAAUUGUCAGAGCUGAGUUCUGAUGAUAGUUGACAAUGCGUUUCCUUUGCAUAUUACUGUUGCAUCAAUAUGAAUUUCGAUUGAUUUGGAAGUUGGCAUCGUUUUGGUUAGCUUUUGCCUGUUGCUUUUUAUGGGUUGUUUUCUUCAACAAGUAUUAGUUUUGGUGAAUUAUGUUGGGUAUUUAUGGGAUUCGGGGUUUGGUUAUGUUUGAUUAUUAUGCUCUUCUUGAAAUCUCAUGUUUGGUUGCUGGGAAAUUGAAGCAGGACAAGAAGAGAGAAGAAAAUGCAGUGAACCCUUUUUGGUUGUUAGUUUGAGUUUAUUAUGCAAGUCUAUUGGUUUUACUGUUAUUUAUUUUGUUGCUUGAAGAUUAUUAGUUUGAUUAUUGAGUUGGUAGUGCUAUAGGAAUUUUAGAUUGCCGUACUGAUGAGUUUAGGAUUUGACAGGAGAGGAAUACCAGUUUGAAGAAUUUGUGCAGGCGGAUUCCGAACUUCGCUCCCCAGAAGCAGGAGGUCCAAAACAUCACAGUGCACUCCCACUGGUACUGCACUGCUCAGACUUGUUUGGUUUACAAUAGCAAUCCUAAGCUUGAUGUCAACUAUUCUGCCGUGGAAAACUGAAGUUAUCUCGAAGAAAGUAGUCAUUGCACUUGGCAAGAGUGUAGCUGGAAGUAUCAAAGAGUAAGGUUUGAGCUUCUUUUUCUUCUAAUAACCUGAAAUGGUUUAUUUCAGUUGUGACUAUGGAUUUUGAGGGUCUGAUUAUGAUAGAAGCUAUUUGAAGAGUAUAGGAUUAUAGAGGGAUUUUAUAGUAGGUUGGGAGAAGCCCAAUGUGUUUAUGAAUGUUCCUAUUUGACAUCCAACUAUAUUGUUGUUCGGUUGUCAAAGCUCGCUGUUCUUUUUUUUCUUUUUCAUGUUGCAUACAUAAAUAUGCUCGAAGGUGAUCCACUGAUCUAGAAUGUGAUCUUUGGGUUGUCAAAGAAUGCAUCUAGGUCCUAGGUUUGGCCCAGUCUAAUCAUUAAGAGCCGAGGACUUAAGGUGGGGGUGCACACAAACAUGAUAGUUUAUAGGCUGAAUGCUUAUUCUUUUGUACAUUUGGAAAUGAAGUUCAGAGUAUGGCAUAGGAAUGGAGGUGUCAACAAGUGGUGACAUCUAUAGCUAUGAAAUCCUGCUAUUUGAGAUGCU
RNAcentral lists this long non-coding RNA (1257 nucleotides) under Rosa chinensis. RNAcentral describes it as "sRNA RchiOBHm_Chr2g0155321". Lineage: Eukaryota; Viridiplantae; Streptophyta; Magnoliopsida; Rosales; Rosaceae. The record is from RNAcentral.